This 208-nucleotide ribosomal RNA is filed under the name uncultured bacterium. RNAcentral's name for it is "partial 16S ribosomal RNA". It matches the Rfam family "Bacterial small subunit ribosomal RNA", at positions 568 to 774 of the family's 1533-position model. The record is from RNAcentral.
CAUGUAGGCGGUUGUUUUAAGUCUGAUGUGAAAGCCCUGGGCUCAACCCAGGAAGUGCAUUGGAUACUGGAUAACUUGAGUACGGGAGAGGAAAGUGGAAUUUCGAGUGUAGGGGUGAAAUCCGUAGAUAUUCGAAGGAACACCAGUGGCGAAGGCGGCUUUCUGGACCGAUACUGACGCUGAGAUGCGAAAGCGUGGGGAGCGAACA